RNAcentral lists this ribosomal RNA (497 nucleotides) under uncultured bacterium. Its description in RNAcentral is "partial 16S ribosomal RNA". It matches the Rfam family "Bacterial small subunit ribosomal RNA", at positions 28 to 507 of the family's 1533-position model. The record is from RNAcentral.
GAUGAACGCUGGCGGCGUGCCUAAUACAUGCAAGUCGAGCGAACAGACGAGGAGCUUGCUCCUCUGACGUUAGCGGCGGACGGGUGAGUAACACGUGGAUAACCUACCUAUAAGACUGGGAUAACUUCGGGAAACCGGAGCUAAUACCGGAUAAUAUAUUGAACCGCAUGGUUCAAUAGUGAAAGACGGUUUUGCUGUCACUUAUAGAUAGAUCCGCGCCGCAUUAGCUAGUUGGUAAGGUAACGACUUACCAAGGCAACGAUGCGUAGCCGACCUGAGACAGUGAUCGGCCACAGUGGAACUGGAACACAGUCCAGACUCAGACGGGGGGCAGCAGUAGGUAUUCUUACGCAAUGGGCGAAAGCUUGACGGAGCAACACCGGUUGAGUGAUGAAGGUUUUCGGAUCGUAAACCUCUGUUAUUAGGGAAGAACAAAAGUGUAAGUGACUAUGCACGUCUUGACGGUACCUAAUCAGAAAGCCACGGCUAACUACGUG